GGAACAGUGGCGCAAUCGAUAACGCGCCUGACUACGGAUCAGGAGAUUCUAGCUUCGAAUCCUGGUAGUCUCG
Molecule: transfer RNA, 73 nt
Filed under: Schistosoma margrebowiei
Lineage: Eukaryota; Metazoa; Platyhelminthes; Trematoda; Strigeidida; Schistosomatidae
Rfam family: tRNA
About the family: Transfer RNA (tRNA) molecules are approximately 80 nucleotides in length. Their secondary structure includes four short double-helical elements and three loops (D, anti-codon, and T loops). Further hydrogen bonds mediate the characteristic L-shaped molecular structure. tRNAs have two regions of fundamental functional importance: the anti-codon, which is responsible for specific mRNA codon recognition, and the 3' end, to which the tRNAs corresponding amino acid is attached (by aminoacyl-tRNA synthetases). tRNAs cope with the degeneracy of the genetic code in two manners: having more than one tRNA (with a specific anti-codon) for a particular amino acid; and 'wobble' base-pairing, i.e. permitting non-standard base-pairing at the 3rd anti-codon position.
Source: Rfam by way of RNAcentral